RNAcentral lists this ribosomal RNA (500 nucleotides) under uncultured bacterium. Its description in RNAcentral is "partial 16S ribosomal RNA". It matches the Rfam family "Bacterial small subunit ribosomal RNA", at positions 30 to 523 of the family's 1533-position model. The record is from RNAcentral.
AUUGAACGCUGGCGGAAUGCUUUACACAUGCAAGUCGAACGGCAGCACGGACUUCGGUCUGGUGGCGAGUGGCGAACGGGUGAGUAAUGUAUCGGAACGUGCCCAGUCGUGGGGGAUAACGUAGUGAAAAUUACGCUAAUACCGCAUACGAUCUAUGGAUGAAAGCGGGGGAUCGCAAGACCUCGCGCGAUUGGAGCGGCCGAUAUCAGAUUAGGUAGUUGGGGGGGUAAAGGCCCACCAAGCCAACGAUCUGUAGCUGGUCUGAGAGGACGACCAGCCACACUGGAGCUGAGACACGGUCCAGACUCCUACGGUAGGCAGCAGUGGGGAAUUUUGGACAAUGGGCGAAAGCCUGAUCCAGCCAUUCCGCGUGCAGGAUGAAGGCCCUCGGGUUGUAAACUGCUUUUGUACAGAACGAAAAGGUUUCUACUAAUACUAGGAGCUCAUGACGGUACUGUAAGAAUAAGCACCGGCUAACUACGUGCCAGCAGCCGCGGUAA